RNAcentral lists this unclassified non-coding RNA (286 nucleotides) under Hevea brasiliensis (rubber tree). Lineage: Eukaryota; Viridiplantae; Streptophyta; Magnoliopsida; Malpighiales; Euphorbiaceae. The record is from RNAcentral.
GAAAAUGGCGAGUGGAAGGCCGGGGAUGUCGACUGCAAGGCAUGCAUUGGAACAGCUUGUCUUCGGGCGAGCUUUGCGUACGAUUUGGCCAAGAAACGCAGCGAAACCGAGGAAACUGAUGACCGCGCUCAAGCCCUACAGCGUCAACGCCUACAAUCUGGCCAAAAACUCCGAAAACAAGAUGCACGACGAUCAGGUCGCGCGCCGCUUUGGAUUCCAGGGCGGACUGGUGCCCGGCGUCGAUGUGUUCGCCUACAUGACCCACAUGCCGGUGGCGAAAUGGGGC